Molecule: long non-coding RNA, 884 nt
Filed under: Bos taurus (domestic cattle)
Lineage: Eukaryota; Metazoa; Chordata; Mammalia; Artiodactyla; Bovidae
Description: long non-coding RNA NONBTAT014247
Source: RNAcentral
UUAAAAAGAGGUGGCUGUCACCAUGCUGGACUGUUUCAGGUUGAGGUUUAGGGAGUCCUUUGCUUUUUUCCUCAGGUUUUUUUUUUUCAAUUGAUGCACAGAGGAAAUGACUAGAGGGGUUACGGGAACCUGAAUCCAUCAGGAAGUCUCAUAAAGACUGGGUAACUUUAGGAUGUAAAAACUUUCAAGACUAAAUUGACUUUUUCCCUUUGGGAACCAAAAAUCUUAUUUUUUCAGUGCCUAUACUGACCCAAAGAGAAUGGGCUAACAGUUUCAGAAAGUUACUAGUAGCCAAGUAAUUUGUUACAGUAUAGAUGACCCUCUCGUUAAAAAAAAGAAAACAAACCUUUAGGUUUGGUAGUUAAUUGGUGAAUCUUACCAGUCCCCAGAGGGGAACACAAUUUAGGUAAUACCUCAUUGUAGCAGAUGCCAAGACAAAGACAGGCUCUUCAGGCUGUUCCCUGUCCUCAGGAUGGUAUGUUAAAGCAGGGUUUUGCUGAUUAUCUGCAGCGAGUGAUCCAGGAAGAACAAGUGUUUUUUCUGACCUUGGUACAUUUCCUCAGUAACGUAUGCGUGCUGUUCUCUCACAGGUAGAAAGGGGGUAAAUGCUGAACAAAACUGUAAUGGAUCUUGAUCAACCAGCAGUAACAAGGAAAACAGGCUUCUUAUUCUGGGCUGCAGGGUGUGCUUUUUAACCAAUGUACUCGGACACCUGCCCAGUCAGUACAGUUUCUCCUCUAGCUGAUAGGCUAAGUAUGAGUAUCUCAGCAUCGUCCCAGUUGUUGAUGAUGGGAACCAUUGGGAUGGGACUUACGAGUGAUCACAUUCAUGUUUUCUUGUGCUGAUAAAAUUAUUUCAUUGUCAGGCAUCUACUUUAUGCAAGC